GGAAUAUAACUCAGUUGAUAGAGUGCUUGCCUUGCAUGCACAAGGCCCUGGGUUCAAUCCCAGCACCA
RNAcentral lists this transfer RNA (68 nucleotides) under Marmota monax (woodchuck). RNAcentral's name for it is "tRNA.Ala". The record is from RNAcentral. Lineage: Eukaryota; Metazoa; Chordata; Mammalia; Rodentia; Sciuridae.